Molecule: transfer RNA, 84 nt
Organism: Colletotrichum gloeosporioides Cg-14
Lineage: Eukaryota; Fungi; Ascomycota; Sordariomycetes; Glomerellales; Glomerellaceae
Rfam family: tRNA
About the family: Transfer RNA (tRNA) molecules are approximately 80 nucleotides in length. Their secondary structure includes four short double-helical elements and three loops (D, anti-codon, and T loops). Further hydrogen bonds mediate the characteristic L-shaped molecular structure. tRNAs have two regions of fundamental functional importance: the anti-codon, which is responsible for specific mRNA codon recognition, and the 3' end, to which the tRNAs corresponding amino acid is attached (by aminoacyl-tRNA synthetases). tRNAs cope with the degeneracy of the genetic code in two manners: having more than one tRNA (with a specific anti-codon) for a particular amino acid; and 'wobble' base-pairing, i.e. permitting non-standard base-pairing at the 3rd anti-codon position.
Source: Rfam
GGUUGUGUAGUGUAGUGGUUAUCACUCCGGAUUUUGAUCGUAUCAAAACUUCCGGCAACCCCGGUUCGAACCCGGGCUCGACCU